RNAcentral lists this ribosomal RNA (305 nucleotides) under uncultured bacterium. RNAcentral describes it as "bacterial SSU rRNA". It matches the Rfam family "Bacterial small subunit ribosomal RNA", at positions 335 to 641 of the family's 1533-position model. The record is from RNAcentral.
AUACCUACGGGACGCAGCAGUGGGGAAUAUUGCACAAUGGGGGGAACCCUGAUGCAGCGACGCCGCGUGGGUGAAGGAGCACCUCGGUGCGUAAAGCCCUAUCGGCAGGGAAGAAAAGCGAACAGGUUCGCCUGGACGGUACCUCACUAAGAAGCCCCGGCUAACUACGUGCCAGCAGCCGCGGUAAUACGUAGGGGGCAAGCGUUAUCCGGAUUCACUGGGUGUAAAGGGAGCGUAGACGGCGACGCAAGCCAGGGGGGAAAGCCCGGGGCCCAACCCCGGGACUGGCCUUGGAACUGCAUGGG